AGUGAACGCUGGCGGUAGGCCUAACACAUGCAAGUCGAACGGCAGCACAGUAAGAGCUUGCUCUUACGGGUGGCGAGUGGCGGACGGGUGAGGAAUACAUCGGAAUCUACUUUUUCGUGGGGGAUAACGUAGGGAAACUUACGCUAAUACCGCAUACGACCUACGGGUGAAAGCAGGGGAUCUUCGGACCUUGCGCGAUUGAAUGAGCCGAUGUCGGAUUAGCUAGUUGGCGGGGUAAAGGCCCACCAAGUCGACGAUCCGUAGCUGGUCUGAGAGGAUGAUCACCCACCCUGGAACUGAGACACGGUCCAGACGCCUACGGGAGGCAGCAGUGGGGAAUAUUGGACAAUGGGCGCAAGCCUGAUCCAGCCAUACCGCGUGGGUGAAGAAGGCCUUCGGGUUGUAAAGCCCUUUUGUUGGGAAAGAAAAGCAGCAGGUUAAUACCCCGCUGUUCUGACGGUACCCAAAGAAUAAGCACCGGCUAACUUCGUG
This 492-nucleotide ribosomal RNA is filed under the name uncultured bacterium. Its description in RNAcentral is "partial 16S ribosomal RNA". It matches the Rfam family "Bacterial small subunit ribosomal RNA", at positions 29 to 507 of the family's 1533-position model. The record is from RNAcentral.